UUUGGGAGGCCAAUGCGGGAGGAUCGCUUGAGGCCAGGAAUUGGAGACCAGUCUGGGCAAUAUAGUGAGACCUUGUCUAUACAAAAA
Molecule: microRNA precursor, 87 nt
Filed under: Chlorocebus sabaeus (green monkey)
Lineage: Eukaryota; Metazoa; Chordata; Mammalia; Primates; Cercopithecidae
Description: miRNA (ENSCSAG00000023666.1)
Source: RNAcentral